Long non-coding RNA from Cygnus olor (mute swan), 603 nucleotides. RefSeq lists it as uncharacterized. The transcript is spliced from 3 exons. The record is from RefSeq and is a predicted model, not a curated record. NCBI's taxonomy places the organism in Eukaryota, Metazoa, Chordata, Aves, Anseriformes, Anatidae.
GUUUUUGAAACAUUGGAAAUCAGAGAGCUUCAAGUUUCCAUAUUUCAGUGGCUGGCAGGUACUAAUUUAUCCUGGACAAAACCUCCUUUCUCUCUGUGCUCUUUUCAUUGCUGUAAUGCAUGCUUUGCAUUCUGACUUUUCCUUUUAAAUAUCCUUCCCAUCAACCAGACCUCAUCUGUUCCCAUCAACCAACCUCAUUAGAUCUCUGUCAGUUCUCUGCUCAGUAUGCUUUCAUUUGGGAAAUUUUGUAAAUUUUCCUUCGGUAAAUCAGCAGGUACACAUGAGACUCUGGACCGAAACCAGUUAGACUUUGACUUCUGGUGGAACAAGCAGAAACAGGACUUGACCUGUAACAUCUAGGCUGUGAUCACCUCGAGUAGCAGGAGAUACAGACUACAAAUAGGAGCAUUGUAUAGCCCAGGUAUGAAGAUGGAGAAUAAAGGUGGUAGAUGAGAAACAAAAAAUGCAUAUUGCACGUUUGAAGCAGCAAAACAUCAGUAGGCAUCUUUGGUGGAGGCUGAAAAGUCAGCAAAGAGCAAAGGCAUGAGUGGGGGGAAGACUUAAUUCUGACACCUCACCUGAACUGAUCUUCUGUUAACAGGU